UACGAAGGUCCCAAGCGUUAUCCGGAUUUAUUGGGCUUAAAGGGUGCGUAGGCGGACUAUUAAGUCAGUGGUGAAAGCCCCAAGCUUAACUUGGGAACUGCCAUUGAUACUGAUGGUCUUGAGUACAUUUGAGGUGGGCGGAAUGUGUCAUGUAGCGGUGAAAUGCUUAGAUAUGACACAGAACACCGAUUGCGAAGGCAGCUCACUAAACUGUAACUGACGCUGAGGCACGAAAGCGUGGGGAGCAAACAGG
This 253-nucleotide ribosomal RNA is filed under the name uncultured bacterium. RNAcentral describes it as "partial 16S ribosomal RNA". It matches the Rfam family "Bacterial small subunit ribosomal RNA", at positions 524 to 776 of the family's 1533-position model. The record is from RNAcentral.